CCAGACUCCUACGGGAGGCAGCAGUGAGGGAUAUUGGUCAAUGGGGGAAACCCUGAACCAGCAACGCCGCGUGAGGGAAGACGGUUUUCGGAUUGUAAACCUCUGUCCUCUGUAAAGAUAAUGACGGUAGCAGAGGAGGAAGCUCCGGCUAACUACGUGCCAGCAGCCGCGGUAAUACGUAGGGAGCAAGCGUUGUCCGGAUUUACUGGGUGUAAAGGGUGCGUAGGCGGGCUUGCAAGUCAGCGGUAAAAAUGCGGUGCUAAACGCCGUCGAGCCGUUGAAACUGGCGUUCUUGAGUGGGCGAGAAGUAUGCGGAAUGCGUGGUGUAGCGGUGAAAUGCAUAGAUAUCACGCAGAACUCCGAUUGCGAAGGCAGCAUACCGGCGCCCUACUGACGCUGAGGCACGAAAGCGUGGGUAUCGAACAGGAUUAGAUACCCGAGUA
Molecule: ribosomal RNA, 443 nt
Filed under: uncultured bacterium
Lineage: Bacteria
Description: bacterial SSU rRNA
Rfam family: Bacterial small subunit ribosomal RNA
Source: RNAcentral